RNAcentral lists this unclassified non-coding RNA (209 nucleotides) under uncultured Leucoagaricus. Its description in RNAcentral is "sequence contains ITS2". Lineage: Eukaryota; Fungi; Basidiomycota; Agaricomycetes; Agaricales; Agaricaceae. The record is from RNAcentral.
AAUUCUCAACUCCUCCCAGCUGGUAUGGCUUGGUGUCUGGGGCUUGGAUAUUGGAGGUUUGUUGGCCAUUCUAGGUCAACUCCUCUAAAAUGCAUUAGUGGAACCGUUUGCGAUCUGGCACAGGUGUGAUAAUUAUCUACGCCAGUCGGUCGCUCUCUGUCUGUUCUGCUUCUAACCGUCCACCUUUAUUGGACAAACUAUUACUGAAC